GACGAACGCUGGCGGCGUGCCUAACACAUGCAAGUCGAACGGACGUGUUUCUUCGGAGAUACGUUAGUGGCGAACGGGUGAGUAACGCGUGAGAAACCUGCCUUUCAGUGGGGGACAACAGUUGGAAACGACUGCUAAUACCGCAUAGGACCACGACCCGGCAUCGGGUUGAGGUGAAAGAUUUAUCGCUGAGAGGUGGGCUCGCGUCUGAUUAGAUAGUUGGUGGGGUAACGGCCUACCAAGUCGACGAUCAGUAGCCGACCUGAGAGGGUGAUCGGCCACAUUGGGACUGAGACACGGCCCAAACUCCUACGGGAGGCAGCAGUGGGGAAUAUUGGGCAAUGGGGGAAACCCUGACCCAGCAACGCCGCGUGGAGGAAGAAGGUUUUCGGAUCGUAAACUCCUGUCCUCAGGGAAGAGCAGAAGACGGUACCUGAGGAGGAAGCCCCGGCUAACUACGUG
Molecule: ribosomal RNA, 462 nt
Filed under: uncultured bacterium
Lineage: Bacteria
Description: bacterial SSU rRNA
Rfam family: Bacterial small subunit ribosomal RNA
Source: RNAcentral